CCCUGGCAUUAAGUUUUCCAUGACAUAUCUAAGAAUUUGCUUUGUAGAUGUUUUCAUGACACUGAGGGAGAGGGGAACUCCUUCAGUUUGAUAGGAGAAUGGCAUAAAAUAUGAAAUAUUCCUGUCCAAAAAGUGUUAUUUCAAAUAGAUGAGUGAGUCUGUUUUGAAUGCGUAAAAGACAGGAGUCACUGGAAGAGCUGGGAUCCUCACAAUUUGAGCCCCACUGACACUACUGAGGGUGUGAUCAGAUGAAGAUACAACUCAGCCAAUGCCACUGUUGGUGACAUGGUCCAGUGCAGGCUAUUUUACAGUGAUCAGAUAACAUACAAUGAACCACUAUUGAUCCUAAUGGCGGCCAUCACGUACAAUGGACCACUAUUCUCCUUGCUUCAGCAUA
Pogona vitticeps (central bearded dragon) is the source of this 397-nucleotide non-coding RNA. Lineage: Eukaryota; Metazoa; Chordata; Lepidosauria; Squamata; Agamidae. The record is from RefSeq and is a predicted model, not a curated record.